GUUAUAGGGUCAAGCGAAUAAGUGCAUGUGGUGGAUGCCUUGGCGAUCACAGGCGAUGAAGGACGUAGUAGCUUGCGAAAAGCUGCGGGGAGCUGGCAAACGAGCUUUGAUCCGCAGAUGUCCGAAUGGGGAAACCCGGCCCGUAUGGGUCAUCCCUUGCUGAAUACAUAGGCAAGGGAGGCGAACGCAGUGAACUGAAACAUCUAAGUAGCUGCAGGAAAAGAAAUCAACCGAGAUUCCCAGAGUAGUGGCGAGCGAAAUGGGAACAGCCUUGUACUCUUUAGCAGUAUUGUUAGCGGAACGGAAUGGAAAGUCCGGCCAUAGUGGGUGAUAGCCCCGUACGCGAAAACAGUAUUGUGGAACUAGGUGUACGACAAGUAGGGCGGGACACGUGAAAUCCUGUCUGAAGAUGGGGGGACCAUCCUCCAAGGCUAAAUACUCGUGAUCGACCGAUAGUGAACCAGUACCGUGAGGGAAAGGCGAAAAGAACCCCGGGAGGGGAGUGAAAUAGAUCCUGAAACCGCAUGCAUACAAACAGUCGGAGCCUGGAAACGGGUGACGGCGUACCUUUUGUAUAAUGGGUCAGCGACUUACAUUCAGUGGCAAGCUUAACCGAUUAGGGAAGGCGUAGCGAAAGCGAGUCCGAAUAGGGCGUUCAGUCGCUGGGUGUAGACCCGAAACCAAGUGAUCUAUCCAUGGCCAGGUUGAAGGUGCGGUAACACGUACUGGAGGACCGAACCCACUAACGUUGAAAAGUUAGGGGAUGAGCUGUGGAUAGGGGUGAAAGGCUAAACAAACUUGGAAAUAGCUGGUUCUCUCCGAAAACUAUUUAGGUAGUGCCUCGUGUCUCACCUUCGGGGGUAGAGCACUGUCAUGGUUGGGGGGUCUAUUGCUGAUUACCCCGCCAUAGCAAACUCCGAAUACCGAAGAGUGCAAUCACGGGAGACAGACAUCGGGUGCUAACGUCCGGUGUCAAGAGGGAAACAACCCAGACCGCCAGCUAAGGUCCCUAAGAUUGGCUAAGUGGGAAACGAAGUGGGAAGGCUAAAACAGUCAGGAGGUUGGCUUAGAAGCAGCCACCCUUUAAAGAAAGCGUAAUAGCUCACUGAUCGAGUCGUCCUGCGCGGAAGAUGUAACGGGGCUAAGCCAGUCACCGAAGCUGCGGAUGCACGUAAGUGCAUGGUAGGAGAGCGUUCUGUAAGCCUGUGAAGGUGUCUUGUAAAGGAUGCUGGAGGUAUCAGAAGUGCGAAUGCUGACAUGAGUAGCGAUAAAGGGGGUGAAAGGCCCCCUCGCCGUAAGCCCAAGGUUUCCUACGCAACGUUCAUCGGCGUAGGGUGAGUCGGCCCCUAAGGCGAGGCAGAGAUGCGUAGCUGAUGGGAAGCAGGUUAAUAUUCCUGCACCGUCGUAUGAUGCGAUGGGGGGACGGAUCGCGGAAGGUUGUCCGGGUGUUGGAAGUCCCGGUCCCUACAUUGGAGAUGGCACUUAGGCAAAUCCGGGUGCGUGAUUCAAGGGUGUGGGGCGAGCGACGUUAGGUCGCGAAGCAAUUGGAAGUGGUUCCAAGAAAAGCCUCUAAGCUUCAGUCAUACGAGACCGUACCGCAAACCGACACAGGUGGGCGAGAUGAGUAUUCUAAGGCGCUUGAGAGAACUCGGGAGAAGGAACUCGGCAAAUUGGUACCGUAACUUCGGGAUAAGGUACGCCCUUGUAGUUUGACUGGCUCGCGCCAGAAGGAUGAAGGGGUUGCAAUAAAAUGGUGGCUGCGACUGUUUAAUAAAAACACAGCACUCUGCAAACACGAAAGUGGACGUAUAGGGUGUGACGCCUGCCCGGUGCCGGAAGAUUAAAUGAUGGGGUGCAAGCUCUUGAUUGAAGUCCCGGUAAACGGCGGCCGUAACUAUAACGGUCCUAAGGUAGCGAAAUUCCUUGUCGGGUAAGUUCCGACCUGCACGAAUGGCGUAACGAUGGCCACACUGUCUCCUCCCGAGACUCAGCGAAGUUGAAGUGUUUGUGAUGAUGCAAUCUCCCCGCGGCUAGACGGAAAGACCCCAUGAACCUUUACUGUAGCUUUGCAUUGGACUUUGAACCGAUCUGUGUAGGAUAGGUGGGAGGCUUUGAAACCGGGACGCUAGUUUCGGUGGAGCCGACCUUGAAAUACCACCCUGGUUUGUUUGAGGUUCUAACCUUGGCCCGUGAAUCCGGGUCGGGGACAGUGCAUGGUAGGCAGUUUGACUGGGGCGGUCUCCUCCCAAAGUGUAACGGAGGAGUUCGAAGGUACGCUUGGUACGGUCGGACAUCGUACCUAAAGUGCAAUGGCAAAAGCGUGCUUAACUGCGAGACCGACAAGUCGAGCAGGUGCGAAAGCAGGACAUAGUGAUCCGGUGGUUCUGUAUGGAAGGGCCAUCGCUCAACGGAUAAAAGGUACUCUGGGGAUAACAGGCUGAUACCGCCCAAGAGUUCAUAUCGACGGCGGUGUUUGGCACCUCGAUGUCGGCUCAUCUCAUCCUGGGGCUGUAGCCGGUCCCAAGGGUAUGGCUGUUCGCCAUUUAAAGAGGUACGUGAGCUGGGUUUAAAACGUCGUGAGACAGUUUGGUCCCUAUCUGCCGUGGGCGUUGGAAUCUUGACGGGGGCUGCUCCUAGUACGAGAGGACCGGAGUGGACGUACCGCUGGUGUACCUGUUGUCUCGCCAGAGGCAUCGCAGGGUAGCUAUGUACGGAAGAGAUAACCGCUGAAAGCAUCUAAGCGGGAAACUCGCCUGAAGAUGAGGAUUCCCUGGAGACUUGAUCUCCCUGAAGGGUCGUUCGAGACCAGGACGUUGAUAGGCUGGGUGUGGAAGCGCAGUAAUGCGUUCAGCUAACCAGUACUAAUUGCCCGUGCGGCUUGAUCCUAUAACC
Molecule: ribosomal RNA, 2892 nt
Filed under: Ralstonia solanacearum
Lineage: Bacteria; Pseudomonadati; Pseudomonadota; Betaproteobacteria; Burkholderiales; Burkholderiaceae
Also listed under: 2 other names
Description: bacterial LSU rRNA
Rfam family: Bacterial large subunit ribosomal RNA
Source: RNAcentral